CCCUCGUCUUCUUCUUCCCAUCAACACACAGUUCCCAGCUAUCUCCCCCCUCUCUCCACAUGUUGCUCCUGCCACCACCUCCUUCUCGCAGUUCUCCGCUAGCCGGCUUCCCAAGGCUACAACCCCAGUCGUUGCUCACCUCUCGCUGCUGUUGGCUAGGUUAGGAGGGCGCUACUGUCAUGCCUGGUGGCGGAGCUGCAGUGCAGCAGGCACCGCACGACAACACUGCUGCAUGCUGACGGGGAGCUGCGUUUCAGCAGGGAGAGGCUCCAAGCUGCUUCCAUGGCCGGUGGAGAAGCUGUAGUGCAGCAGGCGAUGCAUGACGACGCUACUGCCGCGUUGACGGGGGAGCUGCGUUGCAGCAGGGAGUGGCUCAGAGCUGUUGCCAUAGCCGACGGAAGAGUUGCGUUUGCAAUAGGCGAUGCUACAGCGAAGCUGCUGCAAGCCGACGGUGGAGCUUCCUUGCAGCAGAGGUCACCGGGAUGGUUGUUGAUGGGGUGCUGCUAUGCAACAGCCGUCUGCGCAGCCGACACCGCGAUGCAACGCUCGCCGGCGGCCGGCGCUGCAAGUUGGAAGGAGAGCGACGAUGCAGGGCACAACGGUGUUGCUAUGCAGCACGAGCAGUGGGGCGCGACAUGUAGGGGAGCAGCAGUGAUACGAUGCCGACCUCGUCGAUGCUGACGGGGCUGCGAUGCAACGCUCCCGGCACGGGGAAGCUGGCAUUGCUAUGAUGGCUUCUGCCGAAGAUGCUAUUUGCAGCUCCGUCGGCGACGGUGUUGGCUACUGCAAUGACGGCGGUGCGGGGCGAUGGGAGGGAGGCAUGCUAUGAGUGAGGCCCAGGAGGGGGCGUGGGGUGCUUCGUGUUUUGCAACCGCAAGCGAAACCGCAAGAGACCAAAGCAGAGGAAGCUGAUUGAAGGGUCAUGUGCUCAUCCGCCUGAUCCGUAGCAGCGCCCUUAUUUAUAUGCAUGCAUUAUAGCCCGUAGCAACGUAAGAGUGUAGUACUAAUGAGGUGAAUAGUGGACUUCUUGAUUUUUUUGAGGCUAAGUUUUUUUAGACAAACUUGGAAGCUUUUAUUAAAUCAUCACAGCAUUUACACAGACGAAAGAAAGUCCAUCCGGCUGGCCUAGCCAGACAUGUCGGCCAGCCGGAAGCGAUAAAGCAUGCUUCGCGAGUUUGUGAGCCUCGACAUUCGAGCUCCUAAAUUCAUGACUAACGUUACAAGCCUG
Molecule: ribosomal RNA, 1228 nt
Filed under: Triticum aestivum (bread wheat)
Lineage: Eukaryota; Viridiplantae; Streptophyta; Magnoliopsida; Poales; Poaceae
Description: partial small subunit ribosomal RNA
Source: RNAcentral